This 486-nucleotide ribosomal RNA is filed under the name uncultured bacterium. RNAcentral's name for it is "partial 16S ribosomal RNA". It matches the Rfam family "Bacterial small subunit ribosomal RNA", at positions 30 to 507 of the family's 1533-position model. The record is from RNAcentral.
AUUGAACGCUGGCGGCAUGCCUUACACAUGCAAGUCGAACGGCAGCACGGGUGCUCGCACCUGGUGGCGAGUGGCGCACGGGUGAGUUAUCCAUCGGAACAUGUCCUGUAGUGGGGGAUAGCCCGGCGAAAGCCGGAUUAAUACCGCAUCCGAUCUACGGAUGAAAGCGGGGGACCUUAGGGUCUCGCGCUAUAGGGUUGGCUGCUGGCUGACUAGCUUGUUGGUGGGGUGAAGGCCUACCAAGGCGACGAUCAGUAGCUGGUCUGUGAGGACGACCAGCCACACUGGGACUGAGACACGGCCCAGACUCCUGCGGGAGGCAGCGGUGGGGAAUUGUGGACAAUGGGCGAAGACCUGAUCCAGCAAUGCCGCGUGUGUGAAGAAGUCCUUCGGGUUGUAAAGCACAUUUGGCCGGAAAGAAAUCCUUUGCCCUAAUACGGUCGGGGGAUGACGGUACCGUAAGAAUAAGCACCGGCUAACUACGUG